RNAcentral lists this long non-coding RNA (318 nucleotides) under Serinus canaria (Common canary). Its description in RNAcentral is "lncRNA (ENSSCAG00000004043.1)". Lineage: Eukaryota; Metazoa; Chordata; Aves; Passeriformes; Fringillidae. The record is from RNAcentral.
CCCGGCCCCUGCCUGCACCUGGCCCCGGGACGGCUCCGCUCGCCCGCCCGGGCUCGCAGCCGCCGCUCGCAAAACGCUCACUCGCUGCUCUGCUGAAUCAUUUGUGGAACACACUGUGAACUGAAGGAAGGAAUUUACCUGGGCAUUGAAAACAUUUUCCUCAAGAAGGAAAACAGCAAGAAACACAAAGUUACUCCUCAGCUGGUGCAGUUUGUGCUUCUGAGAGAGGUGCCUUCCCUGCAUCUCCCCAUCCCCUGGCUGCGAGGAGCAUAAAUCACAUCCAUACAGGCUGCCCUGCUUGCCGACAGAGAAGGAGAG